ACAAAAUCAAUCUAAAUUUGCCUCUAGAUCCAAAGAAUGGAAUCCAGAGUUUCUUCUUCAUUUCUCAAUGGUUAUCUUUUAUGGAAGAAGCAAAGCUCCAUUUUAUUUCCAAAUCACAUUUCUAGAUCUGAGCAGAGUCAGUGAGACUCAAUGUUGUAAUUGUUCUAUAUGGAAUUCAUAAUAAAAGAGUUGGUUGUUGAUUCUUCAGGUUUUGCCUUUCUGAUGAUACAAUUUAAUGUGACUGAUUUAUCUUGUAACUAAAGAAGUACCAACUUUAAUCAUGUGAAUUUUUAAUAAUCGAAAAGAAAUCAUGGGUUGUGUAUGAA
Molecule: long non-coding RNA, 326 nt
Organism: Solanum pennellii
Lineage: Eukaryota; Viridiplantae; Streptophyta; Magnoliopsida; Solanales; Solanaceae
Exons: 2
Source: RefSeq, a predicted model, not a curated record